CCGAAUCAGCAUACAAUACUUACAAUUAUGAGAGGAAAAUGAACAACCAAUUGCCUGGUUCAGUUAGGCUUGAAGCUAGUAAGAUUGACAUAAAAACAUUUGUUUAAGAUAAAAUUGUAUCUUUUUUCUUUUUUUUUUUUGCUUAAUUUGGCAUUUCUAUAUGAUCUACUCUUAUUGUUGUAAUGAUUAUUGACACACUCAACCUUUGAAUAUAUGGAUAAAAAACCUUCAAAAUAUUUCCAUGUUCAAUCAUUGAGCAUUAGAGUAAUAUCAUCCAACCAACUAUUACACAAAACACAACUAAAAUUAUACAACAAAAGAAUAAGUCAAUGAUCAAUCUGUUAAGUCUGCUCCAAACUUCUCUGUCAUUAUCAUUUUGUUGAAGUAGCAAUUGCUGAAAACUCCCUUAUUGAGAACCUUUAUACGAUAUCCAAGAUGAAGAAUAAGGACAUAGAUGGGAUUGCUAGUUUGUACAAAAUAAGAACCAUAUUACAUUCCAGAAAAUAUAAAAUUAAUUAAGCAUAAAUAUAGAAACUGGAUUAUAACUUACAAUGUAAGAAUCAAAAGGAAACGAUGGAUAAAUAUCAUAUCCUUGUAAUUGGUAUAUGAUCACAUGUUCCUAAAUAAUGACCAUUAUUUAGUGACCAUUAAAAAUUAAAAAAAAAAUUAAAUAAUAUUACAUUAAAGAACAUAAAACUUACUGGAUCCUUAUUGCUCUCCUGCGGUGGGACUACAAUAUCCACCUCAGAAGAUAAUGGUGUUUGUACAUUUGAAUCCUGCAAAUCCAUAAAAAGAUACAUUAAAAUUAAAAUUAAAUUAAUUGUAGAAUAAUUAAGUAAGUAGUUUAAUCUUACCUUAAUUGUUGUCAUCUAAUUCUUCUUUUUUUGGCUCAUAAGAAGAUAAUGGUGUUUAUCAAACAACGUCAUACUUUUUUUGUUUCACAUCCACAUCAUUAUCAGUUUUUUUAUUAUUUCCAUCUAAAUUGUUGUUCAUCUAAUUCUUCAAAAUCUUCGACUUUGUAGUUUUUUUUUCAAAUCCUUCAUUUUUAUAUCAUGAAAAAUAAAUUAUAUUAAUCAUAUAUAAUUCAAACAAAAUCUACAUUUCAAAUAACUUAUUUCUAAUAAUUUUAAAAUAUAAAUACAAUAAAUCAAAACUUUCCUCAACAUGCUAAAUUUAAUUAGCUAGGUAGGUGAAAAAGGUCCAAAAUCGUCAAGCACACCUUCAAGUAAGGCUGGUCGGCGACAUGAUCGGUGAUGGGCUGGUCGGCGAUGGGCAUGGCGUGACAGCGAUGAUGGCUAGUCAACGAUGGGCGCGGCGUGACAACAAGUUUCGUGGGUGAGUGACAGCCUGAGAGAAACAGCUUGCUAGUGGGUGAGUGAGAGAGACAGAUCGGGUGAGAGAGAGAGAGAGAGAGAGAGAGACGGAGAAAAUAAGCGAGUGAGAGUGACGGUUAAGAAUUUUGGAAUUUUCAAAUUCUUUAGAUUCAAAUUCUUCUUCUUCCUAAUAAAUCAUUUCUACGCAAGAGACACGAUG
RNAcentral lists this long non-coding RNA (1533 nucleotides) under Citrus x clementina. RNAcentral describes it as "Citrus clementina (C. clementina) long non-coding RNA (CCLE_LNC004371)". The record is from RNAcentral. Lineage: Eukaryota; Viridiplantae; Streptophyta; Magnoliopsida; Sapindales; Rutaceae.